RNAcentral lists this long non-coding RNA (2641 nucleotides) under Zea mays. RNAcentral describes it as "long non-coding RNA (ZMAY_LNC000840)". The record is from RNAcentral. Lineage: Eukaryota; Viridiplantae; Streptophyta; Magnoliopsida; Poales; Poaceae.
GCCCCUCGGCCAACUCCAUCAAGCUUCGGGUUGGAAGAACGUCGUCUCUCGCGAGGAUACCGAAGACUGGGGUAAUGGAAAAUCGUCGUCAAGGUUCGAACUCGCGAAGUGCCAUCGCCUGGGGCUCGAGGAGUUGUGCAGUCGCGUCGCGGGGGCGUGUUCAAGCUGAUGGGGGAAUUGGAAGGCAGUACUAAACCUCUAGAUGACCUUAAUUUCUCGACGGUGUGCGCAGAUCACGGAGAACCCGCCUCGCCUCGCAAACCAGCCACACCACCAUCUCCAACCACCGGUAAGUCGCUUGGAACUUGCUCUAUUGGACCUCCGCCUCACAUAUCCGUAGUUUCAGACGCCGGCGUUCCGGGAUGGCCAUCACCGGUGUGGGCACCACCGUGGGCGUGUGCGCGCCGCCGUGAGGUUGGGGUCUGAGGUUGGGGAUGGUGUCAUAACCGUUGGAUCGAUCUCUGAUGCUCCAGAUUUGAUGGGGUCGGUGGACACCCAUUUGCUUGAUCUGGUCCGUUGAUGGAAUCGGGCGGAUGAAGUUCUUCCACGUCCGGCUGAAUCUUGGGCCAUUGAUCUCUGAUCCUAGCGUCCAGGGUGCAUACCGAUUCGUAAUAAACACUGAUCUAAUCCGCAUCGUCACCUUUUAAUCGGACGAUUCUGGGUGCAAGAUACCCCUUCGGUCUGUGCAUUUUGCAGAUAAGCCCUCGAGAUUUUAAUAAAACAACACGCCGUCCCCUGUCAGCUAGAAGUAUUCACAGUCGGGUCCCUAGAUCUUAUGUGUUAGCCCCUGGUAUUUAUCAUAUUAGUAACCAUGUCCUGAUUUUAUUCAGAAAUGAUUUUAAAAUGAAAGGUAAUCUAGUAAAUUUUAGUAAAUUGAUAACUUAAGUUACAUAACUCCGAUUUGAUCCGUUCGAGUUGCGUCAACUUCAUAAUAAUUUGGACUACACUUUAGUAACUCUAUUUUUUACAAAACAUAUUCUCAAAAAUAAAUAAUUAAUUUGUUUAACCUCUAGUUAUCAAAUAAACUUUGCUAAAGCAAGUUAAAUGCGAUGUGAUAACUGAUUCCUCCACAACUGAUGGAAAUAUGACUUCCAAUUAGGUUAUAACUUAAAUUAAUGAUUGAAUUAGUUAUUUCUUUAAUGUAUUUUCUCAAAUGAUUUUUAUUAAUCAAUAGAGGAUAUAGUGUUAUUGUUUAAACACCUAAAACCUCAUAAAACUGUAUCUUUUGAACCGUAACUCCGAAUUUAGUGGUUCUCGAUCCCACGAUCUCGUAGCAACGCAUAGAUUACUAUUAUGCAGUUUGUACUUAUGUUUGAUGUAAUGUUAAUUUUGCCUAUACCAUGUUUGUCUGUAUUGCUUCGACUAGCAGCGAGGUUACGAGUCACCUGAAGAUCAUCCUGGUACCUGGUAUCUCAAGUCCCAAGCAAGUUAUGCCCUUGAUCACUUCUUUUUACCCACUCAUGUUCUGAUUAAUCAUAAUGAUCUGCAUAGGUUAAUUUUGAUAGGAUCCAAUAGGUUACCCUAGUUUUGACUAUCUUUAUGCCUUGUUUACCACUGAACUUUUUGGGUAGUACUUGCUAGUGUUAUAUGUGGAUUUGGGCAUUGAGAUACAUAUUAUUCAUACUUUUGUUAUCAGUUGUUAUUUACUCUUCAUGAUAAGAUCAUUAUGUUAAUGGGAACAUGGAGCAACCACCCGAGAAAACAGUGCUACCACAAGGGUAGUAUGGGAUGCCCUUGGCUGAUUAACUAGAAAAGCUAGUGGAUGACUACCUUACCCAAAAGGGGCAAGGGAAGUAGGGGAGUGCUCAGUGUAGGGAGGUCCUUGGGUUGAUUUUGCUGCGAUGGCGGUCAGGCGAGGGAUCACUGCACUGGAGCUUCCUAGAAACUGUAGCGGGUUUUCUGAAGCUAGUGGAACUUUGUAAAGGCCUCGUAGUGUUACACUGCCUCGCCUCCUCGGUAGAGGUAUAUGGAAAGUCGCGAUCCCUUGGCAGAUGGGUAACAUGACUUGUGGGUAAAGAUGUGCAACCUCUGCAGAGUGUAAAACUGGUAUAUCAGCCGUGCUCACGGUCAUGAGCAGCUCGGACCCUCACAUGAUUAAUUUAUGGAACUAAAUUCAGUUUGUCAUAUGCAUUGCAUCGCAAGUGUUGUUAUUACUUUUGUUCUACUACUUAACUGAGUUGGUAUUUACUUAUACUUAGUAAUUGCUAAUAAAAUUUUGACCAACUUUAAAAGCAAUGCUCAGCUUCAACCAUCCUCUUCGGUAAGCCUUACACUUCACAUGAGCUCCCACCUUUGGCGAGUUCAUGCACAUUAUUCCCCACAACUUGUUGAGCGAUGAACAUAUGUGAGCUCACUCUUGCUAUCUCACACCUCUCCACAGGUCAAGAACAGGGACCACAAGAUGAGGCGCAUGGAGGAUGCUGUGACAAGUUCGUGAGAGGUCUAGGCCGUCGUCUCCCAGUCAACUGUGGGUUGCUGGAUCAUUGUCUCCCUAUGAUGUAAUUAUUUAUUUUGUACAGAACUCUUAUUAUAUAGUAAAAAUGUGACAUUCGUUUUUGUACCACUAUUCAUCAUAUGUGUGAGACUUGGUCCCAGCACACCUGGUGUUUAUUUCGCGCCUGGGUUUUGGUGCCCCGAAACC